UACGGAGGGGGCUAGCGUUGUUCGGAAUUACUGGGCGUAAAGGGCACGUAGGCGGAUUGUUAAGUCGGAGGUGAAAUCCUGAGGCUCAACCUCAGAAUUGCCUUCGAUACUGGCGGUCUCGAGUACGGGAGAGGUGUGUGGAAUUCCAAGUGUAGAGGUGAAAUUCGUAGAUAUUUGGAAGAACACCAGUGGCGAAGGUGGCUCAUUGGCCCGUAACUUACGCUGAGGUGCGAAAGCGUGGGGAGCAAACAGG
RNAcentral lists this unclassified non-coding RNA (253 nucleotides) under uncultured Alphaproteobacteria bacterium. RNAcentral describes it as "contains 16S-23S intergenic spacer region". It matches the Rfam family "Bacterial small subunit ribosomal RNA", at positions 524 to 776 of the family's 1533-position model. The record is from RNAcentral. Lineage: Bacteria; Pseudomonadati; Pseudomonadota; Alphaproteobacteria.